RNAcentral lists this unclassified non-coding RNA (210 nucleotides) under Hevea brasiliensis (rubber tree). The record is from RNAcentral. Lineage: Eukaryota; Viridiplantae; Streptophyta; Magnoliopsida; Malpighiales; Euphorbiaceae.
GGGGGGGUGGGUAGGGGGAAGGGGGAGAGGGGUGGGGAGCAUAGAUGGUUUCAAUCAUCGGAAAAACAAUAAAAACAUUUCUUUUUUUUACCACUUUCAUAGUUCAAUGCAUUAUGAAAAAGUAUGGAUAAACUCAGAUCGCAACAGAACGGGAAAUUCAACCCAACAGUUGUUAAGCUCAGUAUUUGAGGCACUGAACUUGGAUAAGUA